Molecule: ribosomal RNA, 3420 nt
Filed under: Triticum aestivum (bread wheat)
Lineage: Eukaryota; Viridiplantae; Streptophyta; Magnoliopsida; Poales; Poaceae
Description: partial small subunit ribosomal RNA
Source: RNAcentral
AUGGGGGGCCUUGGCAAAACCACAUUAGCGCAGGUCAUAUACAAUGAACCUGAAAUUCAGAAGCAUUUCCAGUUGUUGAUCUGGGUGUGUGUCUCUGAUACCUUUGAUGUGAACUCCCUGGCUAAGAGUAUAGUUGAAGCUUCUCCCAAGAAAAAUGAUGAUAUAGACAAACCACCACUGGAUAGGCUUCGAAAAUUGGUCAGCGGGCAGAGGUAUUUCCUUGUAUUGGAUGAUGUCUGGAACAACAGGGAAUUCCACAAGUGGGAAAGGUUGAAGGUCUGUCUUCAGCAUGGUGGCAUGGGUAGUGCAGUGUUGACAACAACUCGUGAUAAACAAGUUGCUGAAAUUAUGGAUGCAGAUAGAGCCUUCAAUCUCAGUCGUUUGGAGGAUUGCUUCAUAAAGGAAAUUAUCGAGGCUAGAGCAUUCAGUUCACAGCAUGAAAAGCCUCCUGAGCUACUGAACAUGGUUGGUGUGAUUGUGAGGAGAUGUAAUGGUUCUCCUUUAGCUGCAACUGCACUGGGCUCUCUACUUCGUACCAAGACCAGCGUGGAAGAAUGGAAGGCUAUAUCAGCUAGAAGCCACAUAUGCACAGAAGAAUCUGGAAUUUUGCCAAUACUAAUGAUUAGCUACAAAGAAUUGCCAUCAUACAUGAAGCAGUGCUUUGCUUUUUGUGCUGUAUUUCCCAGGGGUUACAGGAUUGAUGUGGAGAAGCUGAUCCAACUAUGGAUUGCAAAUGGCUUUAUCCCAGAAUACAAGGAAUAUACUCUUGAAACCGCUGGAAAACAUAUUUUUAAUGAGCUUGCCUCAAGGUCAUUCUUUCUGGACAUAGAGGAAGAUAAAACAGACUGCGAGUAUUAUUCCAGAACUACAUGUAAAAUCCAUGAUCUUCUGCUUGACAUCGCAUUAUCUGUUAUGGAAAAGCAAUCUGAUAUUGCAACUGAGGAACCAAGUCAAAUCAAGUGUCUUACAGACUUUCCAGUCUUUCCUGAUACUGCUCGGCAUUUAUUUUUGGCGCGUGAAGAAACAGAUGGUAUAUGUUUGUCACAUGAAGAAACAGAAGGUAUUUCAAAUGAAUUUGUGGAGAAAAAAUUCCCUGCUAUCCGAACAAUCAUAUGCGAUAGUUUUAUGGGACACUCAUUGCAGCAUCUAUCAAAACACAACUCUUUGCAUGCCUUGAAGCUCCAUACAGGGAGAGAAUCAUUUCUACCGCAGCGAAAGUAUCUGCGUUACCUGAGGUACCUUGAUCUCUCAGGAAGUUUUAUCAAAGCACUGCCUGAAGACAUAAGUAUUCUUUAUAACUUGCAAAUGUUGGACCUUUCCAAUUGUUGUUUUCUUGAUCGACUUCCACGGCAAAUGAAAUAUAUGACUUCACUCCGUCACCUCUACACUCAUGGCUGUCCGGAGUUGAAGAGCAUGCCUCCAGAACUCGGAAAACUCACGAAGCUACAGACGCUUACAUGUUUUGUAGCAGCAGUUACUGGACCUGAUUGUAGUGAUGUUGCAGAGCUGCAGCAUUUAAACCUCGGUGGUCGGCUAGAGCUAUGUCAGUUAGAGAAUGUUAAGGAACCAGAGGCAAAAGUGGCAAACCUCAGAAACAAGAAGGAUCUCAGAGAAUUGACAUUAAGAUGGACUUCUGUUUGUGAUAGCAACGUGGAUCUCAGAGAAUGUUUCGAAUAUCACGAUGAGCUGCAGGUUCUGCGGAUAUAUUCCUAUGGAGGAAGGUGCAUUGGGAUGUUGCGAAACAUGGUUGAGAUCCAUCUUUUUCAUUGUGAAAGAUUGCAUUUUUUGUUCAGAUGUGGUACAUCCUUAACUUUUCCUAAACUGAAGGUGCUUACACUAGAGCAUCUAUUGUAUUUUGAGAGAUGGGGGGAAAUAAAUAAGAGGCAAGAAGAACAGAUAAUAUUUCCUCUGCUUGAGCAGUUGUUUAUUCGGCAUUGUGGACAGCUGGUAGCAUUACCUGGAGCACCAUUGCUUGGAGAACCAAUUACUGGAGAUUAUAGAUUGAUAGCGUCAGCAUUUCCUGCUCUAAAGGUACUUGCAUUGGAAAACUUGGAGAGUUUUCAGAGAUGGGAUGCUGCUGCUGAAGGAGAACAUAUAUUGUUUCCUCAGCUUGAGACAUUGUCAGUUGAGAAAUGCCCAAAGCUUAUACAUUUACCCGAAGCACCAAAACUCAAUGUGUUAAAAAUUGAAGAUGGCAAGCAAGAGAUCUUCCAUUUUGUAGACAAAUAUUUGUCUUCAUUGACCAAUCUGAUACUGAAUCUAGAAUGCACAGAGACAACAUCAGAGGCUGAGUGCACUUCAGUUUUACCGGUGGGCUGCAAGGAGAAAUGGAACCAGAAAUCCCCUCUAACAGUUAUGCAGUUAAGACACUGCAAGUCAUUCUUUGGAGCAGGUUCACUGGAGCCAUGGGACUAUUUUGUACACCUUGAAGAGUUUGAAAUUGAUAGAUGCGAUAUGCUCGUCCAGUGGCCAGAGAAAGUGUUCCAAAGCUUGGUAUCCUUGAGAACAUUAGUGAUUAGAAAUUGUGAAAAUCUGACUGGAUAUGCACACACUCCUCUUGAGCCAUCAGCAUCCGGAAGGAGUCAACACCUGCCAGGUCUGGAGUCUCUUGUGUUAGAGGAUUGUGCAAGUUUGGUAGAAAUGUUCAACUACCCGGCAUCUCUCAAGAGAAUGAAUAUUACUGGGUGCCGUAAGCUUAAGUCCAUAUUCCACAAGCAGCAGGGCAUGUUGGAGUUAGUUGAAGAGUCUUGCAGUGAGGAAAUCUUGCCUGCAGCUGUAUCAGAGUUGUCAUCCUCACCCAUGAAUCACUUCUGUCCAUGCCUAGAAUAUCUGUCGUUAGAUGGAUGUGAAAGUUUACCAGCGGUUCUAAAUCUUCCACCAUCCUUAAAGAGCAUAAUUAUUGAUGACUGCAGUAGUAUUCAAGUCCUAUCAUGCCAGCUGGAUGUGCUCCAGAAACCAAAAGAUUUAGCAGAGCCGUCAACAGCAGCAGCAGCAGCAAGAGAGCAUUCACUUCCUCCUUGUCUCGAAUAUCUACACAUAUUGUCUUGUGAUGGCAUGUUGGGGUGGAUUCUCUGUCUGCCCACGUCCCUCAAGAAACUGAACAUUCAGGACAACAGUGGGUUGACAUCACUGGAGAUUCUGUCAGGAGAGCACCCCUCAUCGUUGGAAACCCUUUUUCUUGUUAGCUGCAGUACCUUGGCAUCCUUGCCGAAUGAGCAGCAAGCAUACGGGUCUCUCCAACACCUUGCAAUUACACACUGUCCUGCAAUAAAGAAGCUCCCUAGAUGCCUGCAGCAGCAACUGGGCAGCAUCAACGAGAAAGAACUAGACGCCCGUUAUGAAGUCAUGGCACUUAAACCAAAGACAUGGAAGGAAAUACCAAGGCUAGUCUGUGAGCAGUGGGAGGCCUUGCGUGAUUGA